Molecule: transfer RNA, 65 nt
Filed under: Marmota monax (woodchuck)
Lineage: Eukaryota; Metazoa; Chordata; Mammalia; Rodentia; Sciuridae
Description: tRNA.Val
Source: RNAcentral
GGUUAUGGCUCAGUGGUAGAGCAUUCGCCUCACAUGUGCAAGGCUAGGGUUCGAUCUCAGCACCA